GGCUAUGGCCAUGCCACCCUGAACACACCUGAUCCUGUCUGAUCUCGGAAGCUAAGCAGGAUCGGGCCUGGUUAGUACUUGGAUGGGAGACCACCUAGGAAGACCAGGUUCCAAUAACUA
This 120-nucleotide ribosomal RNA is filed under the name Pteropus alecto (black flying fox). The record is from RNAcentral. Lineage: Eukaryota; Metazoa; Chordata; Mammalia; Chiroptera; Pteropodidae.